CAAAGGAAGCGAUUCCGGCGGGGGAUGGGCAUGCGGCGCAUUAGCUAGUCGGCGGGGUAACGGCCCACCGAGGCGACGAUGCGUAGGGGUUCUGAGAGGAAGGUCCCCCACACUGGUACUGAGACACGGACCAGACUCCUACGGGAGGCAGCAGUGAGGAAUAUUGGUCAAUGGGCGGGAGCCUGAACCAGCCAAGUCGCGUGAGGGAAGACGGUCCUACGGAUUGUAAACCUCUUUUGCCGGGGAGCAACGGGGUCCUUGCGAGGGCCCAAUGAGAGUACCCGGAGAAAAAGCAUCGGCUAACUCCGUGCCAGCAGCCGCGGUAAUACGGAGGAUGCGAGCGUUAUCCGGAUUUAUUGGGUUUAAAGGGUGCGUAGGCGGGCUGUUAAGUCAGCGGUCAAAUGUCGGGGCUCAACCCCGGCCUGCCGUUGAAACUGGUGGCCUCGAGUGGGCGAGAAGUAUGCGGAAUGCGUGGUGUAGCGGUGAAAUGCAUAGAUAUCACGCAGAACUCCGAUUGCGAAGGCAGCAUACCGGCGCCCGACUGACGCUGAGGCACGAAAGCGUGGGUAUCGAACAGGAUUAGAUACCCUGGUAGUCCACGCAGUAAACGAUGAAUGCUAGCUGUCCGG
This 629-nucleotide ribosomal RNA is filed under the name uncultured bacterium. RNAcentral's name for it is "bacterial SSU rRNA". It matches the Rfam family "Bacterial small subunit ribosomal RNA", at positions 202 to 827 of the family's 1533-position model. The record is from RNAcentral.